GACGAACGCUGGCGGCGUGCUUAACACAUGCAAGUCGAGCGGUAAGGCCCUUUCGGGGGUACACGAGCGGCGAACGGGUGAGUAACACGUGGGUGACCUGCCCUCAGCUCUGGGAUAAGCCUGGGAAACCGGGUCUAAUACUGGAUAUGACUCCAUGACGCAUGUUGUGGGGUGGAAAGCCUUGUGCGGCUGAGGAUGGGCCCGCGGCCUAUCAGCUUGUUGGUGGGGUGAGGCCUACCAAGGCGACGACGGGUAGCCGGCCUGAGAGGGCGACCGGCCACACUGGGACUGAGACACGGGCCCAGACUCCUACGGGAGGCAGCAGUGGGGAUCUUGCGCAAUGGGCGAAAACCUGACGCAGCGACGCCGCGUGAGGGAUGACGGCCUGG
Molecule: ribosomal RNA, 389 nt
Filed under: uncultured bacterium
Lineage: Bacteria
Description: bacterial SSU rRNA
Rfam family: Bacterial small subunit ribosomal RNA
Source: RNAcentral